This 325-nucleotide ribosomal RNA is filed under the name Acinetobacter baumannii OIFC189. RNAcentral describes it as "bacterial SSU rRNA". It matches the Rfam family "Bacterial small subunit ribosomal RNA", at positions 64 to 391 of the family's 1533-position model. Lineage: Bacteria; Pseudomonadati; Pseudomonadota; Gammaproteobacteria; Moraxellales; Moraxellaceae. The record is from RNAcentral.
GAGCGGGGGAAGGUAGCUUGCUACUGGACCUAGCGGCGGACGGGUGAGUAAUGCUUAGGAAUCUGCCUAUUAGUGGGGGACAACAUCUCGAAAGGGAUGCUAAUACCGCAUACGUCCUACGGGAGAAAGCAGGGGAUCUUCGGACCUUGCGCUAAUAGAUGAGCCUAAGUCGGAUUAGCUAGUUGGUGGGGUAAAGGCCUACCAAGGCGACGAUCUGUAGCGGGUCUGAGAGGAUGAUCCGCCACACUGGGACUGAGACACGGCCCAGACUCCUACGGGAGGCAGCAGUGGGGAAUAUUGGACAAUGGGGGGAACCCUGGUCCAG